GUUCUCAGGGCAGGGUGUAAUUCCCUACUGGCGGUCAAGCCCGCGAGCGUUCAUAUAUAUGAAGUCAGCAGAUUUGGUGAAAUUCCAAAGCCAACAGUAAAAGUCUGGAUGAAAGAGAAU
Molecule: non-coding RNA, 120 nt
Filed under: pig gut metagenome
Description: FMN riboswitch (RFN element)
Rfam family: FMN riboswitch aptamer (RFN element)
About the family: The RFN element is a highly conserved domain that is found frequently in the 5'-untranslated regions of prokaryotic mRNAs that encode for flavin mononucleotide (FMN) biosynthesis and transport proteins.
Source: RNAcentral